This 430-nucleotide ribosomal RNA is filed under the name bacterium. RNAcentral describes it as "partial 16S ribosomal RNA". It matches the Rfam family "Bacterial small subunit ribosomal RNA", at positions 355 to 776 of the family's 1533-position model. The record is from RNAcentral.
UGGGGAAUAUUGGACAAUGGGCGAAAGCCUGAUCCAGCCAUGCCGCGUGUGUGAAGAAGGCCUUUUGGUUGUAAAGCACUUUAAGCGAGGAGGAGGCUACUUAGAUUAAUACUCUAGGAUAGUGGACGUUACUCGCAGAAUAAGCACCGGCUAACUCUGUGCCAGCAGCCGCGGUAAUACAGAGGGUGCGAGCGUUAAUCGGAAUUACUGGGCGUCAAGCGUGCGUAGGCGGCUUUUUAAGUUGGAUGUGAAAUCCCUGAGCGUAACUUAGGAAUUGCAGUAGAUACUGGGAAGCUAGAGUAUGGGGGAGGAUGGUAGAAUUCCAGGUGUAGCAGUGAAAUGCGUAGAGAUCAUGAGGAAUACCGAUGGCGAAGGCAGCCAUCUGGCCUAAUACUGACGCUGAGGUACGAAAGCAUGGGGAGCAAACAGG